AGCCUUCUGUAUCCUUGCUGAGAUUUCGUCACACAUCAGACCACAAGGGAUGAUGAGACCUCCAAGUUAAGUGAAGCA
This 78-nucleotide microRNA precursor is filed under the name Schistosoma margrebowiei. RNAcentral describes it as "mir-3492 microRNA precursor family". It matches the Rfam family "mir-3492 microRNA precursor family". Lineage: Eukaryota; Metazoa; Platyhelminthes; Trematoda; Strigeidida; Schistosomatidae. The record is from Rfam by way of RNAcentral.